UACAUCUCAGGAUGGUGGGGUAACAGUUUCCCUGAUCCUCCAUGCAGCUGGAUUUUGAUGCUCAGGUUCCACUAUGUUGCUGUUUGGGUCCCCCAGCUAUUGUCUCGUCUGCAUAGACAGAGCAAGAAGCUCCCCUUCUCCUCUUCUUCUGAGAGAUCUUUGAUGAGAGUCUUUGGCUUCUGUGUACCCGAUCAUACAAGUGAGCCACAGGACAUCCUGCAAGAUUUCUCGUCUACUUCUAUUAUUUUGGGUUUAAAACCUGGGGACAGGAACAGUUGGACAUGUGAAGAGAUAUGGAAAAGACAUAGCAAGCCUCCGGCUCCAGUUCUUAUCAGUCCAUCUGUCUGUGUGAUGACAAUAAGCAAACAAUGAAUAUGCACCACCUGCCUCUGUAUAGUUUUUCUACUGCCAUCUGCUGGUAAGGAAAGUAGUCUCCUCUCACCAAGGUGCUGGUAGCUUGUUGGCUGUAGACGAUGAUGGGUGUGUGUGUGUGUGUGUGUGUGUGUUUUUCCCCCCAACACAUGCCAACUGAGGCAACAUGGCAGUUGGUUGACAUUCUUAGCCAUCUGUCAACAGUUGGAGCAGUGCAUCCUGGGCUUAACACUUCAGCUAGUUCCUGUUUAACACCUCUACACUGACCCUGUGUCAGAGCAGGACAGAGUGAAAACUGAGAGUCUGGACUGGGCGGAAAGUUACACACUGUCAAUGCAUGCUGAUCUUAAAUGGCUGGUUAGUUCACCACAUUUAUAAAUUAAACAUUCUGGAUUGGAUUCUUUGAAAUUUGGAUAUUAAAAGUGCAGUAGACAGUGAUCUUCAUCUGCAGGUUGUUACGAUUAUUAUUAUUAUGGCUCUAUGUACUGAGCUCCUCUCAUCAAAUAAGCACAGAUACCGUCACAUUGGUUUCAUACACUGCAGAUGGCCCAAUGCAAUCUCUUCAUGUAUGAAACUCUGAAUAUUAACAUGUAUUGCAUAUUGUCCCAAUUGUCCCAAGCAGUUGUUGCUGAUGCUGGAAUAAGAGCCAAAAGAGACAAGGAAGAAGUGCAACCAUGGAAUCCUGGUGAGAAAUUGGAACGCUAGACUGACGCAGAGCCUCAUUUAAGAUAGGUCCCCCCCCCCCCCAACCGUUCAAUUGGUCCAGAGUAAAAUGGUUAGGAACAGAAAAAUGUCAGUCCCUUGCAGUCAGUGUAAAUAUCCCAGGGAAGUCGAGGCAAUCGCCCUGCAGUCUACUCUCAGACGAAGCUUGAACAGCCACAAACUGGGCAGGAAAAUGAUGGAAGGCGUAAUGAAAACACAGCAUGUGACAACAUGACAGUUUCCAUAUGUCUCUGCUGGGGAAAUGAAAAUCUUGGAUAGGACCAGAAAAGGCUAAAAUCUCUUGACCUCGUGUUGCUGUGUGACUCAUCUGUCUUCUUACAGAAAUCUAAAAAGAAUUAAGAGAAGAAUGUUUAAGCUUAUUCAUUCAGGCCCCAGUAAAGGUAUUAUCUGCCAAGUUCUGUUGUCAUAAACUCCCCAAGCUCCAUUCAUGCAGUUAUUACCAAAAAAAGAUGAGCAUUUAAAAGGAACAGGCCAUGAUGUCCUGUGGCUCACAUGUAUGAUUCAUGGGAUUUUGUGCAGAUGGAGAAGCUGCAG
Molecule: long non-coding RNA, 1629 nt
Organism: Solea solea (common sole)
Lineage: Eukaryota; Metazoa; Chordata; Actinopteri; Pleuronectiformes; Soleidae
Exons: 3
Source: RefSeq, a predicted model, not a curated record